Molecule: ribosomal RNA, 236 nt
Filed under: uncultured bacterium
Lineage: Bacteria
Description: partial 16S ribosomal RNA
Rfam family: Bacterial small subunit ribosomal RNA
Source: RNAcentral
UGAGGAACAUGACUUUCGGCGGGGGAUAGCCGGCCCAACGGCCGGGUAAUACCGCGUACGACCUUUUGGGGACAUCCCCGAUUGGUGAAAGCAGCAAUGCGCCGAAAGAGUGCCUCGCGGCCUAUCAGCUAGUUGGUGGGGUAAUGGCUCACCAAGGCGACGACGGGUAGCUGGUCUGAGAGGAUGGCCAGCCACAUUGGGACUGAGACACGGCCCAGACCUCCGUACGGGAGCAG